UCCCUGGUAGCUCAGACGGUAAAGCGUCUGCCUACAAUGUGGGAGACCCAGGUUCAAUCCCUGGGUCGGGAA
Molecule: transfer RNA, 72 nt
Filed under: Bos taurus (domestic cattle)
Lineage: Eukaryota; Metazoa; Chordata; Mammalia; Artiodactyla; Bovidae
Also listed under: 4 other names
Rfam family: tRNA
About the family: Transfer RNA (tRNA) molecules are approximately 80 nucleotides in length. Their secondary structure includes four short double-helical elements and three loops (D, anti-codon, and T loops). Further hydrogen bonds mediate the characteristic L-shaped molecular structure. tRNAs have two regions of fundamental functional importance: the anti-codon, which is responsible for specific mRNA codon recognition, and the 3' end, to which the tRNAs corresponding amino acid is attached (by aminoacyl-tRNA synthetases). tRNAs cope with the degeneracy of the genetic code in two manners: having more than one tRNA (with a specific anti-codon) for a particular amino acid; and 'wobble' base-pairing, i.e. permitting non-standard base-pairing at the 3rd anti-codon position.
Source: Rfam by way of RNAcentral